GACGAACGCUGGCGGCGUGCCUAAUACAUGCAAGUAGAACGCAGUUGCGAACGGGUGAGUAAUGCGUUGGUAACUGCCUGGUAUCGGGGUAUAACUAGUUGACUCGUUAGCUAAUACCGUAUACUACCCGAUGUACCUUCGUUGUAUUAGCUAGUUGGUGAGGUAACGGCUCACCAAGGCAACGAUACAUAGCCGAGCGGAGAGGGUGAUCUGGCACACUGGGACGGGGAAACGGCCCAGACAUCUACGGGAGGCAGCAAUAGGGAAGCGUCGGCAAUGGGGGGAACCCUGACCGAGCAACGCAGCGUGAGUGAAGAAGGUUUUCGGAUCGUAAAGCUCUGUUGUUAAGGAAGCGGGAAUUAACCAGAAAGGGACGGCUAACUACGUGCCAGCAGCCGCGGUAAUAC
This 407-nucleotide ribosomal RNA is filed under the name uncultured bacterium. Its description in RNAcentral is "partial 16S ribosomal RNA". It matches the Rfam family "Bacterial small subunit ribosomal RNA", at positions 28 to 526 of the family's 1533-position model. The record is from RNAcentral.